AUAUUACGUCUCGCGCACGAACAGAAUGUACGCUCAAGUCGGCGUCUCUUCGCGGAGUUCUGAGGAACUUUCUGGACCUCGGGGAGCCUGAUCAGUCCGACUGGCUUUCUCCUGACGGUCGGCCGCCUGGUUGGUGUGUCGGGGCGUUAAAGGCUCCGUAUAUUUACCUGCAGGGUGACGUUUCUUUCUUUCUUUUUUCAUGAAGUGUACUUUUAUUAUUUCUAUAUUUUUAUUGUGUUUGAAUGUGGAGAAGUGAACUGUGGUUUCUAUUCUGCGAUGGACAGGAAAUAUAACUGAAUAAGAAUAACUGAAUGAUUAUGAAACAGUAUUUACAUGUAUUCACUUUAUCUGAACGUAAACAAAGUUUAAGAUAUUUUUUACAGUGUAGUUAUUGCCUGUUAAGUUAUGAUGUCAUAACUCAUGGAUGAGGUAAUAAAAACUGGUCAAAACAU
Sander lucioperca (pikeperch) is the source of this 452-nucleotide long non-coding RNA. RefSeq lists it as uncharacterized. The transcript is spliced from 2 exons. NCBI's taxonomy places the organism in Eukaryota, Metazoa, Chordata, Actinopteri, Perciformes, Percidae. The record is from RefSeq and is a predicted model, not a curated record.